AGGUGUGGGUUUCCUUCCACGGGAUCCGUGCCGUAGCUAACGCAUUAAGCGCCCCGCCUGGGGAGUACGGCCGCAAGGCUAAAACUCAAAGGAAUUGACGGGGGCCCGCACAAGCGGCGGAGCAUGUGGAUUAAUUCGAUGCAACGCGAAGAACCUUACCUGGGCUUGACAUGCACUGGAUGCGGUCAGAGAUGGUUGUUCCCUUUGUGGCUGGUGUUCACGUGGGGCAUGGUUGUCGUCAGCUCGUGUCGUGAGAUGUGGGGUUAAAUCCCGCAACGAGAGCAACCCUUUUCUCGUGUUGCCAGCAUUUGUUUGGGGGCUCGCGGGAGACAGACCGGGGUAAUUCGGAGGAAGGAGGGGAUGACGUCAAACCAUCAUGCCCCUUAUGUCCAGGGCUUCACACAUGCUACAAAGGAUGGUACAGACAGAUACGAUACCGUGAGGGGGGGUUAAUCACUUAAAGACAGCCUCAGUUCGGAUUGAAGUCGGCCACUCGACUCCAUGAAGACGGAGUCGCUAGUACUCGCAGAUCAGCAAUGCUGCGGUGAAU
RNAcentral lists this ribosomal RNA (550 nucleotides) under uncultured Corynebacterium sp. RNAcentral describes it as "bacterial SSU rRNA". It matches the Rfam family "Bacterial small subunit ribosomal RNA", at positions 818 to 1367 of the family's 1533-position model. Lineage: Bacteria; Bacillati; Actinomycetota; Actinomycetes; Mycobacteriales; Corynebacteriaceae. The record is from RNAcentral.